GCCAAGCAGGAAGCCCAAUGCAAAGCUCAAUCCUAGGACCCUGGAGUCAUGACCUGAGCCAAAGACAGUGUCCAUAGGCACUCUGCAUGGAAUACAAGGUUCUUCAUGAUUUAGCUCCACCUUUCUGCCAUCCAGUUAUUUAGACAGACACCCCAUCAACAUCCUGAAUCCUCAAGCCAUUCAGACUGCCAGGGUUCCCUAGAAGACCUUGCAGCCUAGAGUGCCCCUGUCUACCUAUUCUGCAAGUUAAGCUCAGAUAAAUAGAGGCAUUUCCAAUCUAGGAGCAUCUUAAUGUGAGUUCAAAGUUUGAAGUUUGUUGGACCAUCCAGAUGAUGAAAAACCAGGUUAUGCAUCUAUGCAAGGGUCGUGUUACUGACAGUGCCAUUCCAAUAAAGGUACAACUUCUUGGUGUCUCAGUUUAAGAAGAGGAAGAGAAAGUACAUUCACUAAGGAAAGGUCACCUGAGCUCAGGAGUUCACGUGAGCCCACAGUAGAAGCCCUCUGGAGGCCAAGAAGACAGCCCUUAAGACACUGACUAUGCUUUAAACUUGGUUUUCCAGUUUCAAGAGAGUG
Long non-coding RNA from Canis lupus familiaris (dog), 573 nucleotides. RefSeq lists it as uncharacterized. The record is from RefSeq and is a predicted model, not a curated record. Lineage: Eukaryota; Metazoa; Chordata; Mammalia; Carnivora; Canidae. The transcript has 4 exons.